GAGCCUGGCCACUCUCAGGUGAAGUCUCCCGGAAGAAGGGAACGACCCGGGACAGGCUUGCCCGCCGGCGGGACGCCCCUGUUCCCCCGCUGGCUUUAUCCGCCACCCCGCCGACAAAACCCCCGGCCCGGGUCAGCGCCGUGGUUUGCUUCUUCAGGAACUUCUCCAGCGGCUUCAUCCCUGCAGGCAUGGAAGGAUCCUGCCAGCCCACAUCAAACCCCUGAUCAAGAACUUGUGAGUCUUCAGGCGGAAAUGAUGUAAACAUCCAAUGACUCGGACACCUUAUUAGAGAGGCGAUCAUUCCAGUCCACAGUGAACACCUGAACAUACAAGUCUUCAAGCAAAACCGAUGAUAUGCAUGCUUUAAGUUCCGGUCUUAUGGACACCAUGUUUGGGUGAGCCUGCCCCAUGGUGAGCGCCCUCUUCAGGUCUGGACUCUGUGACUCAUUACUCUUGAUGGAUCGAGGGCAAGUGGGACAUCUUUCCGUGAUGUUUAUUCAUUCCACCAUAAAAUACCUUUACUGCCGCUAUCCUUUGUACAUAUGGACACAUGCUGUAUUUUCAAGGUUUCAACACUACUCUGAGUUAACUGGACUAGUUUCUUGCUUCGGGGCCAGUUCCAACAGUUGUUUCACAGAGAAUGCCUAAAUGCAAAGAUAGUUUCUUAAGCUUUGUCAAUGAUAGUCUGUAUCUUGGUUUACUGUGAGCUUAUUUGUUUUUUUUUCAUUGUAAUUUACCAUCAGCAAUUACGGAAUGUAAAAUCUAUGCCAACCAACCGUAAUUUGUAAUAUAUUUUGCUUAUUUUUUGCAAGGAAUUUCUGGCAAACACAGCUGUCGGUAAUUUACUGAUCAUUUCAAAUACAACAAUAAAAUACUGUAAUAUAG
Long non-coding RNA from Eleginops maclovinus (Patagonian blennie), 885 nucleotides. RefSeq lists it as uncharacterized. The record is from RefSeq and is a predicted model, not a curated record. NCBI's taxonomy places the organism in Eukaryota, Metazoa, Chordata, Actinopteri, Perciformes, Eleginopidae. The transcript has 3 exons.